AUGGAUGUUCUUGCGUUAAGGCGCAAUGGCUGUAUGGAUAAGAAGAACAAAAAGUGCAGUAUUCCAAUGGUCAAGUGUGCGGAGCAUAGGGCAAGAAGGAUAAGACGAAAGAGAGACACCGAGGCAGAUAUAAAGGAGAAGAUGCAUUCAUAUCUGGGAAUGUACAAGAAGUCACACGCGCCGAAAGUGAUUGAUCGGAGAUAUGUCCAGGCUACUAUUUGCGCAUUUCUUGGAAGGCUGCUCAUCGAUGCAUCUCCAUUUACAAGAGUUUUCAUGAUGUUGGGUAUGUCGUCUUUGUUCAGAACAAGGCACAUACGAUGGCUUAGACGGAGUGCCUUGAUACCUAUCUUUGUGGUUUUUGCUAGUUCUUUCUCAAUUAACCAAGCUUAUAAGGUUUUGGAUUUACUCUAA
This 411-nucleotide ribosomal RNA is filed under the name Triticum aestivum (bread wheat). Its description in RNAcentral is "partial small subunit ribosomal RNA". Lineage: Eukaryota; Viridiplantae; Streptophyta; Magnoliopsida; Poales; Poaceae. The record is from RNAcentral.